GACGAAGGACCCGAGCGUUAUCCGGAUUCAUUGGGCUUAAAGGGUGCGUAGGUGGAUUGAUAAGUCAGUGGUGAAAUCUCCAGGCUUAACCUGGAAACUGCCAUUGAUACUGUCGAUCUUGAAUAUGUUUGAUGUGGGCGGAAUAUGACAUGUAGCGGUGAAAUGCUUAGAUAUGUCAUAGAACACCGAUUGCGAAGGCAGCUCACAAAGCCAUUAUUGACACUGAGGCACGAAAGUGUGGGGAUCAAACAGG
RNAcentral lists this ribosomal RNA (253 nucleotides) under uncultured bacterium. RNAcentral's name for it is "partial 16S ribosomal RNA". It matches the Rfam family "Bacterial small subunit ribosomal RNA", at positions 524 to 776 of the family's 1533-position model. The record is from RNAcentral.